AUUCAGCCGGCGAGUUCCAAAUGGAAUGAAACGCGCGUCCUGGAU
Molecule: non-coding RNA, 45 nt
Filed under: Schistosoma mansoni
Lineage: Eukaryota; Metazoa; Platyhelminthes; Trematoda; Strigeidida; Schistosomatidae
Source: RNAcentral